RNAcentral lists this ribosomal RNA (889 nucleotides) under uncultured bacterium. RNAcentral describes it as "bacterial SSU rRNA". It matches the Rfam family "Bacterial small subunit ribosomal RNA", at positions 29 to 919 of the family's 1533-position model. The record is from RNAcentral.
AUGAACGCUGGCGGCGUGCCUAACACAUGCAAGUCGAACGAGCAAAUACAUUUGAUUUCUUCGGAAUGAAGAUGUAGGCGCGAGUGGCGGACGGGUGAGUAACGCGUGAGUAAUCUGCCUCAUACAGGAGAAUAACACUAAGAAAUUGGUGCUAAUACUCCAUAAGCUCACAUUAUGACAUCAUAGAGUGAGAAAAGAUUUAUCGGUAUGAGAGGAGCUCGCGUCUGAUUAGCUAGUUGGUGGGGUAACGGCCUACCAAGGCAACGAUCAGUAGCCGACCUGAGAGGGUGAUCGGCCACAUUGGAACUGAGACACGGUCCAAACUCCUACGGGAGGCAGCAGUGGGGAAUAUUGCACAAUGGGGGAAACCCUGAUGCAGCAACGCCGCGUGAAGGAAGAAGUAUUUCGGUAUGUAAACUUCUAUCGACAGGGAAGAAACAAAUGACGGUACCUGAAUAAGAAGCACCGGCUAAAUACGUGCCAGCAGCCGCGGUAAUACGUAUGGUGCAAGCGUUAUCCGGAUUUACUGGGUGUAAAGGGUGAGUAGGCGGUCAUGCAAGUCAUAUGUGAAAUGUCAGGGCUUAACCUUGGCGCUGCAUAAGAAACUGUAUGACUAGAGUGCAGGAGAGGUAAGCGGAAUUCCUAGUGUAGCGGUGAAAUGCGUAGAUAUUAGGAAGAACACCGGUGGCGAAGGCGGCUUACUGGACUGUUACUGACGCUGAGUCACGAAAGCGUGGGGAGCAAACAGGAUUAGAUACCCUGGUAGUCCACGCCGUAAACGAUGAGUGCUAGGUGUUGGCCAGAGAUGGUCGGUGCCGCAGCAAACGCAAUAAGCACUCCACCUGGGGAGUACGACCGCAAGGUUGAAACUCAAAGGAAUUGACGGAAG